This 497-nucleotide ribosomal RNA is filed under the name uncultured bacterium. Its description in RNAcentral is "partial 16S ribosomal RNA". It matches the Rfam family "Bacterial small subunit ribosomal RNA", at positions 28 to 507 of the family's 1533-position model. The record is from RNAcentral.
GAUGAACGCUGGCGGCGUGCCUAAUACAUGCAAGUCGAGCGAACAGACGAGGAGCUUGCUCCUCUGACGUUAGCGGCGGACGGGUGAGUAACACGUGGAUAACCUACCUAUAAGACUGGGAUAACUUCGGGAAACCGGAGCUAAUACCGGAUAAUAUAUUGAACCGCAUGGUUCAAUAGUGAAAGACGGUUUUGCUGUCACUUGUAGAUGGAUCCGCGCCGCAUUAGCUAGUUGGUAAGGUAACGGCUUACCAAGGCGACGAUGCGUAGCCGACCUGAGAGGGUGAUCGGCCACACUGGAACUGAGACACGGUCCAGACUCCUACGGGAGGCAGCAGUAGGGAAUCUUCCGCAAUGGGCGAAAGCCUGACGGAGCAACGCCGCGUGAGUGGUGAAGGUCUUCGGAUCGUAAAACUCUGUUAUUAGGGAAGAACAAAUGUGUAAGUAACUAUGCACGUCUUGACGGUACCUAAUCAGAAAGCCACGGCUAACUACGUG